Molecule: ribosomal RNA, 468 nt
Filed under: uncultured bacterium
Lineage: Bacteria
Description: partial 16S ribosomal RNA
Rfam family: Bacterial small subunit ribosomal RNA
Source: RNAcentral
GACGAACGCUGGCGGCGUGCUUAACACAUGCAAGUCGAACGGAAAGGCCCUGCUUUUGUGGGGUGCUCGAGUGGCGAACGGGUGAGUAACACGUGAGUAACCUGCCCUUGACUUUGGGAUAACUUCAGGAAACUGGGGCUAAUACCGGAUAGGAGCUCCUGCUGCAUGGUGGGGGUUGGAAAGUUUCGGCGGUUGGGGAUGGACUCGCGGCUUAUCAGCUUGUUGGUGGGGUAGUGGCUUACCAAGGCUUUGACGGGUAGCCGGCCUGAGAGGGUGACCGGCCACAUUGGGACUGAGAUACGGCCCAGACUCCUACGGGAGGCAGCAGUGGAGAAUAUUGCACAAUGGGCGGAAGCCUGAUGCAGCAACGCCGCGUGCGGGAUGACGGCCUUCGGGUUGUAAACCACUUUCGCCUGUGACGAAGCGUGAGUGACGGUAAUGGGUAAAGAAGCACCGGCUAACUACGUG